Molecule: non-coding RNA, 70 nt
Organism: Phrynosoma platyrhinos (Desert horned lizard)
Lineage: Eukaryota; Metazoa; Chordata; Lepidosauria; Squamata; Phrynosomatidae
Source: the annotation of a GenBank genome assembly
GCCAGCAUGGCAUAGUGUUUAGUAUUGGACUAUGGCUCUGGAGACCAGGGUUCGAUUCCCAAUUCGGCCA